Delphinapterus leucas (beluga whale) is the source of this 1125-nucleotide non-coding RNA. The record is from RefSeq and is a predicted model, not a curated record. Lineage: Eukaryota; Metazoa; Chordata; Mammalia; Artiodactyla; Monodontidae.
GAAAGAGUCGACGCGGCGUGCUCCAAUCAGUGCGCAUGCGCACCUCAAUUAGUGUGCAUGCGCGUCUCCGGUGGGCGCUCCGCGCCUCCCUGACCGCCAGCUUGUGCGUUUCUCUCAGGACCUUCCAGCUCCAAAGCCUGGGACUUAAUCCAGCUGAUGCUGGCUUCAGCAUACUGACCAUGGGACCUGGCAGGAUUCCGUGUGCCCAGGACGAGCCGGCACAGGUGGUGAACACUGGCAUGAGUGACCCACGGCACCUGCUGCAUGGCCAGUCUGCAGACAGAGCCACCGUGCAUCCAGCCUCUGGAAGGUACUCCUGACGGAUGUUCAGAAAGGCAUUUACCUCACCUGCUUUGUUACCUUUUAUAUUGAACAAGCGUCAGACACUCACAGCAAAGUGUCAUCAGUAGCAUUAAACUCAAGAAGUUUUAGCAGAAGCUGUGUCUUGCGCGUCCUGUUCAGUAAGAGGCCCUGAGCUUUGGUGCCCUCACUGCUAUGUCCAGAUGCAUGUGAGGGAGGGAGUGCCAUGCCUCGCCCUGCAGGCACUCUUGACCUCAGAGGGGAAGGUUGGGUGAUGGGGGGGAGGGAGGUUGUCCAGGCAGCUUGGAGUGUGCAUCCAGAUCCUGCUUCACUUGGGAAAUGUGCCAAUGACGGGGCCGUUGGGCAUUAGUAGAAUUUCACUUCCCUGGACUUGGGGUCUCAGGUGCUUGAAAUCUAGUUACUCUGAGGACAUAGAAUCUUUCCUUACUGCCAGGAUUCAGGAACUGAAAGGAUUAUGUAUAUACUGGGCUUGCUAGUGUUUUACGUGAAACCUUUAUCCUUACUUUGAAAAGUGAAAGCACUUUCUGGACCUAAAAUCUGUGAAGGCCAAAUAUUAGCUUUGCGUUGCUUCUAUUUUUUUUACAGAAAGAGGGUCUACUUGGUCAUUUCAGUAGGUAGAGGGACAUCUGGAAGUGAAGACCUUUCUGUUCAAAAAGAAAUAGCUGAAUAACUUUUAUUUGAAAUGAUCUUUUGUCUGUUAUCAGCUCUAUUUCUUGUCACUAUUUUUUUGAACAUGUAGUGUAAGCAUUGUAAACUGCUUUAAGUUUAAUUGAAGUUAUUAAACUUCCUGAACUCUUAAUGAUA